Phoenix dactylifera (date palm) is the source of this 3410-nucleotide non-coding RNA. NCBI's taxonomy places the organism in Eukaryota, Viridiplantae, Streptophyta, Magnoliopsida, Arecales, Arecaceae. The record is from RefSeq and is a predicted model, not a curated record.
CCUCCUCCUCCGCUUUUUAAUUUUAAUUUCUUCGAUAUACUUAUUUUCUUUAAAUAAUUUUUUCUUUGGCAACCCAAGAAUUCAUACAAUUUGGAGACUGCUGAAUGAUCUUGCGUCGAUGGUCGCUAGGGUUUGGAGAAUUCAAAUUCUUAAAUCUUCUGUUUUGGUUGUUCAACUCGUCUCUCAUCUCCUCGGCUUGUCUUCUGUUCUCUUCUUGAACGAUGGGCGAGGCAGCUCUGGAAGGCCUGCUGUUCCGCAGGCAACCAGUAUGCAGCCAUUGUAGAAGGGAGGGGGGAUAUUUCGGUUUCGGUCUCAUCCAUUCAAGAAUCCCGGAACCUCUGAGCCCAAGGGGUUUUUUUGCGGCAUCGCGAAGUAGAAAACAGCUAUUUCUGACAGCAAGGCAAUCUUGGACCCUCUGCGGAUGUUCUGAAGGCAACUGGAUGCAGCAGCUUAGUCAUCUUGAAGACUUACAACGCAAUUCUGGAUUAAGUGAGCCAAGCUAAUUAUAUGCCGAGCAUUCAAACAAUGGAAUUAGCGAAGCCAGUUUGGUUAACUUACUUUGUGAUCUUUACUAUAAUGACAAGGUAAAGCGGUAAGCAUUUUAUCAUGUUGUAUGGGCCUCUCUGGGUCAACACUUUUUCAAGUUUUAUACAUGUGAAGGUAUUCUAAUCUUGAAUUUAUUGCUUUGAUAGAAAAUAUUUGGUUUUUUCUUAAGCUAAUUUAUUUCUUAAGUUUUUCUUUGGUUCUUCAUUUUUUUAUAAUCUUGAAUUUAAGCUAAUAAACUCUGGUGAAAUUUGUCCAGAUCCUUGCUCCCUUGCACUUAUUAAAUGUUUUUCAUCAUUUUUCAAAAAAAAAGGUCUCUUUAAGUGAUUUCGUCUUAGGCCCCAAAUGCAUGGGCACUGCAUUACUCUCAUCAUUUAAAAUGGAUUUAUGCUAAGUGCAAGAACUAGGAAUGUGCCGCUAACUAUGUAGAAGUCUCUACAAUGAUGCAGCGUCAGCAAUAAAUUAUUUCCAUCCUCACGUAAUUCUCACGAUCAGAAGUAAAUAUAGAAUGAGAAAAAGACCUAUACACUAUGCCAUGUGUCAGCUGCAAAAACAAUAGCAUCUUCAGCAAACACAUUGAGCCCUUGCACCACCUGGGGAGGAAGAUUCUCUGGAUAAAUCUCAUAGAGCACACUGCAGAAUCACAACGUACAAUACAAGAGAGAUUAUGUACAAGAGUAUAAAAAGAAAACUUCCUAAGAUUGAAUUAUUGAAACCACACAAGAACAGAACAUAGUUAGAAUAGCAUUUCAUUCAGCUAUCAAACAUUAAAUAGACCACCUAGAGCGGAUCAUCUUUCAUCCUUCAACUUCCUUGGAUCUCAACUAUAUCAUUUACCAACGAGUAUUGCCGCAGAUCACACGUCCACACCCCACUCAGCCAAUUAUCAACUCCAGCUUUGUCUCUACUAAUAGGUCAUGCUGUCACGCCCUAAAUUUGGAAUAUGAUGUGUUGGUGCUACUGUACGGUAUCGCCCGCAAUAACACAAAGCUUAUAAAAAAACACCGUAUGAAAUUUUAUCUCAUAAAAUACAAUAAUAAAAAUGGUCCAAAGUUUUUUCAUUAUUAAAUAAAAAUGUAAUUUUUCAUAAUUUAAAGUCCAUAAUUUAUACAUAAAUCAUUUACAAUCAUGAUUCUAAAUUUUUAAAAAAAUAUGGAGACAGUCAUAUCAAACAUAAUCUAUAUCUUCAUUUUUGAAGUUGAUCGGUACAUCAACAACAGUAAGGCUUGUCUUAAGGUUACUUGCUUCUGGUUGCCUAAAGAUCAUUAGCAAAUCUGCUGCACUUUUCAAAAUCAUUUAAAAAGAUAAAUUAAUUUGCAUUGAAUUAUUUAAAAAUUUAAAUGCAAAAUAAAAAGCUCUAUGGGAUCGAAAUGGACUUGAUCUGACGUUGUAUCUUGACCGGAGAAAAGAGGCAGAAAAGGCCGGCCCAAGCGGUCGCCACGACACUGGUCUCGGAUCCUGUUACGGAUCCACCCGGUAGGUACACAGAGAAAAAUAAGAUCCUCAAGUGAGACGUACAGGCGGCUAGAUGGAGAGAGAUUCAACCAGGAUGGGAUCUCUCCAAUUUGUUUCUUUUUUUUCCCCCUCCUUCUCUCUCUCUCUCUCUCUCCUUACUUUUUUUUUUUCUUCGGCAAAAUAGGGGAGCACCCUCACUAGAAUGGGGGAAGAGGGGGAAGGGCACGAUGGCCCAGUAGGGUUGGGCACAGCGAGGGCGCCGGUUGCAGGAGCCCGACGGUGGGGAAACGGCCACCAAUGGAGGUGGCAGUGCUGGCAAAGAGAAGAACAACAGAGAGGAGCAUGUGGGAGGAGGUCGGGGCUAUUGCCUUACUCCAACGAUGCACUCCAACCAUGAAUCAGACAGAGAUGGGCCACGACGAGCUCGAAGCAGAGAAAGGAAGAUGCACGGAGAAAGAUAAAGAUGGAAGAAUAGGAGAAGAGAGAGGAAGAUGGAGGAGAAGGUCGUGUGGCCAUGGCAACCGAUAAAGGAGAAGAAACUGGGGGGAGGAGGCCACCUGAUCAAUCUAGUUUUCUCGCAAUCGACAACGAGAAAUCUCGUUGGAAAAGAAGAACGCGCGCGGAAUCAACGAUUCCAGUCUUCUCUUCCCUCUCUCACAUGCGAUUUCCUGCCAGUCUGUCGACCUUCGACACAGCCUGCUUUCCACACUCGGAAGCCUGGGUAGACAUGGCUCACUGCGUUGAGUCAACUGGGUUCUUCACAUAUGAUGAGGACGUAAUAUUGAUCAGAUAGUAGUUAACUAGCCCUCUCAAGAUAUCCUAACUAAAUGUUGUCAUUUGUUAUGUUUAUUCCAGAGCUUUGUAGUCUUCUUAUUAUUCUUUUUGAUCCAGCAUGGUGUCCGUCAAAGCAUUGCCAAGUUUUGUUAUUUAUAACUUUUAUAAUUGAUGAAGUUAGAAGCUUCCAAGUUUCUCCAUUUUUUUAGCAUGACAAGCAUUUUUGUUUUGUGAUUUCCUUGAAAAUUCCAACAUAAGAUAGUUAAUUUAGUAAAACCAGCAAAUUUGUGAUACUUGUCUAUAAGAUUAUGAUAUUUCAAUACCAAUUUGUAUUUGAAGGUGUGCUUCGUUGAGCUAAUCAUUUAGGAGAAUGAUCAUAAUUAAUCGUCACCCUCACUCACCUGUUUGUGCAAUAGUUACGACAACACUGCAGUACUAGUUUACUAUGUAUUUCUAAUAAAUUUGUCAAUUAUAAAAGUGGAGUUUAACUUUGUAUUUGUUUCUCUACCUCUUUAGAGUAUUUAUCUCUUGAUUCUAAUGGUAAUGCUUAUGCAAGACUAGUGUAAAUUGCCGAUGUACCAAAAAAAUAAAAAAAAAACCUACUAUAUUUUUGGGUAAUCCCUUUAUGGAAAACGUGC